This 253-nucleotide ribosomal RNA is filed under the name uncultured bacterium. RNAcentral describes it as "partial 16S ribosomal RNA". It matches the Rfam family "Bacterial small subunit ribosomal RNA", at positions 524 to 776 of the family's 1533-position model. The record is from RNAcentral.
UACGGAGGGUGCAAGCGUUAUCCGGAUUCACUGGGUUUAAAGGGUGCGUAGGUGGGUUGGUAAGUCAGUGGUGAAAUCCCCGAGCUUAACUUGGGAACUGCCAUUGAUACUAUCAGUCUUGAAUACCGUGGAGGUCAGCGGAAUAUGUCAUGUAGCGGUGAAAUGCAUAGAUAUGACUUAGAACACCAAUUGCGAAGGCAGCUUACUAAGCAGAUAUUGACGCUGAGGCACGAAAGCGUGGGGAUCAAACAGG